UUAAGGACUAGCUUGACGAAGCGAAAAGUCAUUUCCUUAGAUGACCUGUCCUUAAUUCUUUAUUACUAAGG
RNAcentral lists this small RNA (71 nucleotides) under Candidatus Jettenia caeni. RNAcentral describes it as "planctomycete KSU-1 int-alpA RNA". It matches the Rfam family "int-alpA RNA". Rfam says of the family: Acidobacteria (1 example), Planctomycetes (1 example), Proteobacteria. Environment (Lake Washington) Lineage: Bacteria; Pseudomonadati; Planctomycetota; Candidatus Brocadiia; Candidatus Brocadiales; Candidatus Brocadiaceae. The record is from Rfam by way of RNAcentral.